RNAcentral lists this ribosomal RNA (500 nucleotides) under uncultured bacterium. RNAcentral's name for it is "partial 16S ribosomal RNA". It matches the Rfam family "Bacterial small subunit ribosomal RNA", at positions 29 to 523 of the family's 1533-position model. The record is from RNAcentral.
AACGAACGCUGGCGGCAGGCCUAACACAUGCAAGUCGAGCGGAUGAGGGGAGCUUGCUCCUCGAUUCAGCGGCGGACGGGUGAGUAAUGCCUAGGAAUCUGCCUAGUAGUGGGGGACAACGUUUCGAAAGGAACGCUAAUACCGCAUACGUCCUACGGGAGAAAGUGGGGGAUCUUCGGACCUCACGCUAUUAGAUGAGCCUAGGUCGGAUUAGCUAGUUGGUAGGGUAAAGGCCUACCAAGGCGACGAUCCGUAACUGGUCUGAGAGGAUGAUCAGUCACACUGGGACUGAGACACGGUCCAGACUCCUACGGGAGGCAGCAGUGGGGAAUAUUGGACAAUGGGCGAAAGCCUGAUCCAGCCAUGCCGCGUGUGUGAAGAAGGCCUUCGGGUCGUAAAGCACUUUAAGUUGGGAGGAAGGGCUCAUAGCGAAUACCUGUGAGUUUUGACGUUACCAACAGAAUAAGCACCGGCUAACUUCGUGCCAGCAGCCGCCGUAA